GACAGAGGGUGCAAACGUUGCUCGGAAUUACUGGGCGUAAAGCGCGUGUAGGCGGACCUGUAAGUUGGACGUGAAAGCCCUGGGCUCAACCCAGGAAUUGCAUCCAAAACUACAGGCCUAGAGUGAUGGAGAGGGCAGCAGAAUUCCUGGUGUAGAGGUGAAAUUCGUAGAUAUCAGGAGGAACACCGGUGGCGAAGGCGGCUGCCUGGACAUCAACUGACGCUGAGGGACGAAAGCUAGGGGAGCGAAUGGG
RNAcentral lists this ribosomal RNA (253 nucleotides) under uncultured bacterium. RNAcentral describes it as "partial 16S ribosomal RNA". It matches the Rfam family "Bacterial small subunit ribosomal RNA", at positions 524 to 776 of the family's 1533-position model. The record is from RNAcentral.